RNAcentral lists this unclassified non-coding RNA (249 nucleotides) under plant metagenome. Its description in RNAcentral is "partial contains small subunit ribosomal RNA, internal transcribed spacer 1, and 5.8S ribosomal RNA". The record is from RNAcentral.
UUUCCGUAGGUGAACCUGCGGAAGGAUCAUUAAUGUAACCGGACCGGUCUUCUGCCGUCAGACGCAGCGGAUGGGAAUGGGAGAUAUCAUACACCCCUGUGUUUAUUUACUUUUGUUGCUUUGGCGGGCCGUCCUUUUAGGCGUCGGCCCCGGCUGAUCGCGCCCGCCAGAGGACCCAAACUCUUUUAUCAGUGAUGUCUGAGUACUGUAUAAUAGUUAAAACUUUCAACAACGGAUCUCUUGGUUCUG